GAAUGCUAAUACCGCAUACGUCCUAUCGGGAGAAAGCAGGGGAUCUUCGGACCUUGCGCUAAUAGAUGAGCCUAAGUCGCAUUAGCUAGUUGGUGGGGUAAAGGCCUACCAAGGCGACGAUCUGUAGCGGGUCUGAGAGGAUGAUCCGCCACACUGGGACUGAGACACGGCCCAGACUCCUACGGGAGGCAGCAGUGGGGAAUAUUGGACAAUGGGCGGAAGCCUGAUCCAGCCAUGCCGCGUGUGUGAAGAAGGCCUUUUGGUUGUAAAGCACUUUAAGCGAGGAGGAGGCUACUCUAGUUAAUACCUAGAGAUAGUGGACGUUACUCGCAGAAUAAGCACCGGCUAACUCUGUGCCAGCAGCCGCNGUAAUACAAGGGUGCGAGCGUUAAUCGGAUUUACUGGGCGUAAAGCGUGCGUAGGCGGCUGAUUAAGUCGGAUGUGAAAUCCCUGAGCUUAACUUAGGAAUUGCAUUCGAUACUGUUCACCUAGAGUAUGGGAGAGGAUGGUAGAAUUCCAGGUGUAGCGGUGAAAUGCGUAGAGAUCUGGAGGAAUACCGAUGGCGAAGGCAGCCAUCUGGCCUAAUACUGACGCUGAGGUACGAAAGCAUGGGGAGCAAACAGGAUUAGAUACCCUGGUAGUCCAAGCCGUAAACGAUGUCUACUAGCCGUUGGGGCCUUUGAGGCUUUAGUGGCGCAGCUAACGCGAUAAGUAGACCGCCUGGGGAGUACGGUCGCAAGACUAAAACUCAAAUGAAUUGACGGGGGCCCGCACAAGCGGUGGAGCAUGUGGUUUAAUUCGAUGCAACGCGAAGAACCUUACCUGGUCUUGACAUAGUAAGAACUUUCCAGAGAUGGAUUGGUGCCUCGG
RNAcentral lists this ribosomal RNA (870 nucleotides) under Acinetobacter haemolyticus. RNAcentral's name for it is "bacterial SSU rRNA". It matches the Rfam family "Bacterial small subunit ribosomal RNA", at positions 158 to 1022 of the family's 1533-position model. Lineage: Bacteria; Pseudomonadati; Pseudomonadota; Gammaproteobacteria; Moraxellales; Moraxellaceae. The record is from RNAcentral.